Rosa rugosa (rugosa rose) is the source of this 619-nucleotide long non-coding RNA. RefSeq lists it as uncharacterized. The record is from RefSeq and is a predicted model, not a curated record. Lineage: Eukaryota; Viridiplantae; Streptophyta; Magnoliopsida; Rosales; Rosaceae. The transcript is spliced from 3 exons.
UUCUUUCUUAUUCUCUCCUAUCUCCUCUGAGUCCUCUCUAUCUCUAUCUCUAUCUUUCUUCUCUUUCCUUCCAGAUGCUCUCUUCUCUCUCUUCUGUGCUCCCACACUUGCAUCUCCAUUCUUCGCUUGUCCUUGAACUCACCCAAACUAUCAAUCCAUCAUCCAAUGAAUUGUCCGUGAAGGGGAUCAAGGGGUGUCUCAAUCCUCUACCGUCGGCUUGCAUCGGCGACAUAGUGAUGGCCACCGUGAAGAAGGAAAAGCCGAAUCUGAGGAAGAAGGAUGGCCGCCACGAUGGUUAAACCGGAUCGGAAGAAGCUCAACUAGAUCGACCUCAUCAGAAUCUAGUUUCAGUGACUCAAUUUUUUAUGGGUUUAUGCCUAUCAACUCAAAUCAAGAUCCCCAAUUUCAUCAAUGUGAAAUUGGAAUUCGUAGAGGUUGCUCAAAGCCUAGCUUGUGGAACUCCUCAUAUGAUCAGUGCUACGAUUGAAGGCCUUGCUCAGUUGGCUUAUGAGUUUUCUGACCUUGUUUUCAACUCCAUUUAUAAUUUCUUUUAGAUCUGAACAAUUGUUUAUUGGGCCAAAGUAAACAUUAAGUUUUCAAGUCAAAACCAAUCUCCAUU